This 253-nucleotide ribosomal RNA is filed under the name uncultured Gardnerella sp. Its description in RNAcentral is "partial 16S ribosomal RNA". It matches the Rfam family "Bacterial small subunit ribosomal RNA", at positions 103 to 354 of the family's 1533-position model. The record is from RNAcentral. Lineage: Bacteria; Bacillati; Actinomycetota; Actinomycetes; Bifidobacteriales; Bifidobacteriaceae.
CGGGUGAGUAAUGCGUGACCAACCUGCCCCCAUGCUCCAGAAUAGCUCUUGGAAACGGGUGGUAAUGCUGGAUGCUCCAACUUGACGCAUGUCUUGUUGGGAAAGUGUUUAGUGGCAUGGGAUGGGGUCGCGUCCUAUCAGCUUGUAGGCGGGGUAAUGGCCCACCUAGGCUUCGACGGGUAGCCGGCCUGAGAGGGCGGACGGCCACAUUGGGACUGAGAUACGGCCCAGACUCCUACGGGAGGCAGCAGGC